RNAcentral lists this ribosomal RNA (571 nucleotides) under uncultured bacterium. RNAcentral's name for it is "partial 16S ribosomal RNA". It matches the Rfam family "Bacterial small subunit ribosomal RNA", at positions 355 to 919 of the family's 1533-position model. The record is from RNAcentral.
UGGGGAAUUUUGGACAAUGGGCGAAAGCCUGAUCCAGCAAUGCCGCGUGUGUGAAGAAGGCCUUCGGGUUGUAGAGCACUUUUGUCCGGAAAGAAAUCCUUGGCUCUAAUACAGUCGGGGGAUGACGGUACCGGAAGAAUAAGCACCGGCUAACUACGUGCCAGCAGCCGCGGUAAUACGUAGGGUGCAAGCGUUAAUCGGAAUUACUGGGCGUAAAGCGUGCGCAGGCGGUUUGCUAAGACCGAUGUGAAAUCCCCGGGCUCAACCUGGGAACUGCAUUGGUGACUGGCAGGCUAGAGUAUGGCAGAGGGGGGUAGAAUUCCACGUGUAGCAGUGAAAUGCGUAGAGAUGUGGAGGAAUACCGAUGGCGAAGGCAGCCCCCUGGGCCAAUACUGACGCUCAUGCACGAAAGCGUGGGGAGCAAACAGGAUUAGAUACCCUGGUAGUCCACGCCCUAAACGAUGUCAACUAGUUGUUGGGGAUUCAUUUCCUUAGUAACGUAGCUAACGCGUGAAGUUGACCGCCUGGGGAGUACGGUCGCAAGAUUAAAACUCAAAGGAAUUGACGGGGU